This 278-nucleotide long non-coding RNA is filed under the name Solanum tuberosum (potato). RNAcentral describes it as "long non-coding RNA (STUB_LNC000718)". Lineage: Eukaryota; Viridiplantae; Streptophyta; Magnoliopsida; Solanales; Solanaceae. The record is from RNAcentral.
UUCCCACAGAGAAGUCUUGCUCUGGCUUGCCAAAAGCGUUUAAUAUUGAGAAUGUUGGAUGUAUUACACACUGGUGGAAUUGCGUAACGUAAUAAGGCUUUUAACUAGCUUAGUGAAUCGAUUUAAACUAGUAAAUAUAGUAUGUUUUUGUUGGCAGUGAGUAAAUCUUUGAUUCAGAGGGUGGAAGAUGUUAUGAAUCUGAAGUGGGCUCUUGGCUUAGGUUCACACUUUCUUUUGUCUUUCCUCGAAAAGUCGUUUACAGUCUUCUGUGAGUCCCU